AAUGUCUGGGAAACUGCCCGAUGGAGGGGGAUAACUACUGGAAACGGUAGCUAAUACCGCAUAACGUCUUCGGACCAAAGAGGGGGACCUUCGGGCCUCUUGCCAUCGGAUGUGCCCAGAUGGGAUUAGCUAGUAGGUGGGGUAACGGCUCACCUAGGCGACGAUCCCUAGCUGGCCUGAGAGGAUGACCAGCCACACUGGAACUGAGACACGGUCCAGACUCCUACGGGAGGCAGCAGUGGGGAAUAUUGCACAAUGGGCGCAAGCCUGAUGCAGCCAUGCCGCGUGUAUGAAGAAGGCCUUCGGGUUGUAAAUACCUUUUCAGCGGGGAGGAAGGGAGUGAGGUUAAUAACCUCAUUCAUUGACGUUACCCGCAGAAGAAGCACCGGCUAACUCCGUGCCAGCAGCCGCGGUAAUACGGAGGGUGCAAGCGUUAAUCGGAAUUACUGGGCGUAAAGCGCACGCAGGCGGUCUGUCAAGUCGGAUGUGAAAUCCCCGGGCUCAACCUGGGAACUGCAUUCGAAACUGGCAGGCUUGAGUCUCGUAGAGGGGGGUAGAAUUCCAGGUGUAGCGGUGAAAUGCGUAGAGAUCUGGAGGAAUACCGGUGGCGAAGCGGCCCCCUGGACGAAGACUGACGCUCAGGUGCGAAAGCGUGGGGAGCAAACAGGAUUAGAUACUCUGGUAGUCCACGCCGUAAACG
RNAcentral lists this ribosomal RNA (700 nucleotides) under uncultured bacterium. Its description in RNAcentral is "bacterial SSU rRNA". It matches the Rfam family "Bacterial small subunit ribosomal RNA", at positions 112 to 808 of the family's 1533-position model. The record is from RNAcentral.